AAGAGGAUGGCGACGGUUGGCCGGUUAGUCUGUGAAUGGACAGCAGGCGGCAGAGCGAAGUGACGGAAGUGAAAUGAGAACAGGAGUAGAUGGCGGGAAAGAUGAUGUAGAGGUGAAAUAAGAUAAAAACAAAGCGGAAAAGGAGAACAACAAGCAGAGUGAAAGUAAACCUGUAAUGUGGAGGAAACGGACAGUGAGCGCAGUGUAACCGUGACAAGGAGACACGAGGACGGAUUUAAAGUGAUCAUAAAAUCGUCUCCAGACGGUCGUCGUUCGUCCAGUAGGCGGGAUUAAUGCACCUGUAAGCUGAUUUGUCAAAUGCCAUCAAGGCCUGAAGAAGAACGGAGGAGGACAGCACUACUGUGGUAGAGGAGCGGUGUGUGUGCAGACAUGGCUGCUGUUGAUGAAGCGGACUGAACUUAGAGGAGAGACACAAACUAAAGUAUCCAUCCCCUCACGUCAGUGUGGAUCUGACACCAACGUCUGUAUCACUUCAUCGAUGCUUGUAUCGAUCCGCUCAGCCUGAGUUGAAGCAGCAAUGAGUUCAGUUCAGUAUCUGAGAGAGUUCAUCAAGGAGAGACUAACUGCUGUUUGUGAAGAAAUCUUCUCAGAGGUUCAAAAAACCAUCGUCCAGUAUGAGGAGGAGAUCAACCGUCUGCACAGACUGCUGGAUAUCAGCCGGAAACCCAACAUAAACUUACACAUCACAGAUCUACCACAACAUCAUGACUGUAAGGAAGAGGAGGGUCUGGAUGAGCAGCAGGUCUGUAACCAGGAGAGGAACUCCAGUGUGGACCAGGAGGACCCAGAGCCUCCACAGAUUAAAGAGGAACAGGAGGAACCCUGCAGCAGUCAGGAGGAGAACAGCUUGGACUGAAGCAGGAGACUGAAGGCAUUAUUGUCUGGACUGAUGAAGAGCAGCUCAGAGUGAUGGAGACCAUCUGAAAACCUGUGAUAAAGUUACACAGAAUAGGUAUGUAAAACUGUGAUGUCUUAAUAACACUGAAUAUGACUCACGGGUCUUAAGCAGGUGAUUAAGCUGCUUCCACAUCCUGCAAGAAGCAACCGGGACAGGUAGGAUGGACCUUGUCGCUUCACAAGUUGUCGUUUUAAUCCUACAUCCAAAAAAAUCUAAUAAAGAAUUCAUAAGAAC
This is a long non-coding RNA of Oreochromis aureus, 1153 nucleotides long. The record is from Ensembl. NCBI's taxonomy places the organism in Eukaryota, Metazoa, Chordata, Actinopteri, Cichliformes, Cichlidae.